AAAAAGAGCAGCAUUUAUUUAAAAAUAUUUCUUGCUGGUUUUAUAAUAGUAGCCUAAUUGUUUGUUUUUAAAAAAAAGUGUAUGUACACUUUAUACCCCUGUAACAACUGCAUGCAAACUGUGAUUAAUUAUUGUAAUCAAAAGCCUUUCACAGAGUUUAUUUUAGUCAAACUCACCACUUCCUGUGAAGUGAUGUGUUGAUAUUCACUUACAUUAAGUACAUUAAGUUUUGUAAUCUCACUAAAAUGGAUGAAUUGUCUGUGAAAUCCACUUUGCGGCACAAUACAGGGUGAUAAGUAUGUAGCCAUUAUUUCUGCAUUUCUGUUUUUUGCCACUAGUGGUGCAGAAAUUACAUCCUUCAGCUUUAACUGAUGCAUUUGGUUGAAGUGAUAAAUGGAUUUAUUUAUAACAGAUAGAGAUGUGAAGAGGAAGAGAUUAAUAAGCGAAUGAAUAAAUGAAUGGAUGGAGGGGAUGAAGUCGCUACAUUUCCGUUUUCAAGUCAUUAACGAUGCAUUAACCCCAUAAUCUGAGCUAAAUGUAGAACCGAAAAAAUCAAUGUCAUCCAAAGAGGGCAAAUCUGAACGAAUGAGGCUUGAAUAUGUUUACUGUAACCCAGGUAAGCCAUGUCAAACUGGUCUCAUCAGCUAAAUGGGUUGGGUUGCCAGACCCUGCCUGCUGGUCCCUGUGGAGAAGGUGCUGGCUGCAGAUAGAUUCCUGCCAAAUUGAUCACAGAUAAUUUCACUAAGCGCAAGAUGCGUCAAUCAGGGCUGUUCUUCCCUGGAGACUCUCCCUCAAGGACAGACGGUGGGAAGUAUUGUGCUGACAUCAGCAUAUUUCAAGAUGCAUUUAGUAUAGAUGAGUGCCGUACUCCAGUUGGCACGAGGUACGGGGCAGAUUGCACCUGAGUGUGUGGUAAAUUGCAUUUUAUUUGGCACAGCAUAAUGACAAACAACCAUGUUUAUGGUUGGAUGGGGUCGUUGUCUUUGUUAAUAUAGAUAAAUGGGCGUUUUCUUUCUCUGAAUCUGCUGUUUUCAUUGUAAUCAGGGACCCUGAAUAUACAGUAACUUUUAAGCACCUAUUAUUCAUGGUUUUGGGUCCAAAGAUGAUAUCAAAUAAAAAAAAAACAUUCUAUUUCAAAUAAGUUUUAUUCACUAAUCACGGUUUCUACACAUUUGUUUUAAAGGAAUUGUUUACCCAAAAAAUGAAAAUUUACUCACUAUCAGAUCAUCCAAAAUGUAGAUGGGUUUGUUUCUAUAUCGGAAAAGAUCUGGGAAAAUUUAGUAUUACACCAAUAGACUCUUAAUAAUGAAUUUGUUUAUUACAAACAUGCAGUUUUCUACUUCAUAGGAUGUGAUUUGAUGGACUAUGGGUGUGUUGAUUACUUGUAGAUUAUUAUGAUGUAUUUAUCAGCUAUUUGGACUCUCAUUCUGUUGGCACCCAUACACUGAUGGUGAGCAAAUUUUCAGCUAAUCUUCAUUUUUGUGUGAACUAUACCUUUAAGCAGCACAACUGUUUUCAACACUGAUAAUAGCAGUGUUGACUGUUGGAAACUCAACAUUGCCAUAACAGGAAUAAAUUGUCAUUGUAAUCAGAGACUAUAGAAUAUAGCUUUUAAAUAACCACCUGUUUUCAGACUCCAAAGAUAAAAGCAAAUGUAAAAGGGUCUUCUUUGGACUGUUUGUUCUUAACCGAUCUUUUAAGAGUAUACUCUUCGGUGCUUCUCAACUUGUUAACGUCAAUUUGAAGCAAGAAGUGGAAAACAUAAGUGUUUAUUAUCACCUCACAACAUGCUGUUAGCUCUCACUCAGCCUUUGCCCUCCUGUCUGCUUGGUUCUGCCUACCAUGAUCAAUAAGCUGGUGCUGUUUUGAUAAGAUGACCCAGUAAAAGCAUGGCAAAGGUUCCUGGCUUUUUUCAGUCUGCUAUACUGGAUUAUUAGUCUUUCCUUGACAUUUUAUGAAAAGGUUAGGUCACUUAAAAGGGGCUAUGUUGCUUCGCCGGGCUCUGUCGUUAAGGCAGAAUGUCCUUUGUAAACCAUGAUAUUUGGGCAAGUGCGAGGAAUCAGCUGUCCUCUAAAUUUAAAGGCAGCUGCAUUUUUUUUUUAUGUGUGGCUCCGUUCCUGACAGUUCUGUAUUUGGCUGUAGACAUUUUUUUUUAAGGAUCCUGCAGUUUAGCCAGUCAAGGUGAAGCAUAAUGAGUAACAGACACUGUCUGUGUUUAGAUAUCUGGGGUGUUGAUGUAGAAACACUGCUGUCACCAUAAAAAGCUUUACUUUAUAUAGUUGUCAUUAAUUUUAUAGUGUAUAGUUAGGCAUGCAUCAAUAUGGAAAUUCUGAAAUUCUCUUUCUUUUUCUUCCUUUUUUUUUUUUUUUUUUAAGAAAAUGCUGUUUAAAUUGUGGGAAAGGCUGAUAAAAUAUGUUCAGAUUACAGAGGCCUCCAAUAGCUCAUUUAAAACCCUGCAAGUAUUGGCUGAAACCAAUGUGUUUAUCCCUAAUUUUCAUUCUAUUGUAUCUCUGUGAAAUGCAGAAAAUAUUUAUCCCAUCUGAACUUCAAAGGUUUGCAAACUUGCGGCUUAGUCAGGGCUUUCUGUGAACUCAAUGGUAUUUCUGAAGAAACAGAUAAUCUCGAAGCAGUGUUAGUCUCACAAACCCACUCCUGGUACCAUCAGUCCAGUGCCUAUGUACACUUAGUCAUGUCAUAACACUGAGUCACUGCGUCAGUGCUUGUGGUGAGGCACAAGGACGACUCUCAGAAGACAUCGUAGUUUGUAAAAUUUGAUCAGAGAGUCUUGCAGUGCGUUUCUCUCACAGAUCAGAAGAGGCUUCACCCGCUGUGUUUGUGUGGGGUUGAGUGAGAGCGUGACAGUCUUUCUGUUGGUGGAUCCCCCCACUGUGCCCGUUAACAACCUGCUGGAGAGAGACCAGAGUUCCCAGCAUCCUCCUCUCCGAGGCAUUUCAUCUCACAACGGCCUCCUACUAUAGCAUGCUGUGUACAAUAGCGGCUUCUGUCCAGCUCACAUGUGUUUUGAACAAUGAGCUCACUUAUCAGAAGUUGAUUCACCUGACUGAGAAGAAAGCAAAAAAGGGUCCUCACAGGACAGGAAAGAAAAAAAAGGAAAGAAACCAUCUUUGUGAUGAGUUCCAUUGGUUUUGGUGUCUUUUAUUGAGGUUUGACUGCAGACGAUCGAAAUGUGUGUGAAGAGAAAGGAGACCUGUGACAUUUCCAGCAGUUGGGAGGAAACAGCUCUGUCAAUGUGAUUGGCAGACUGUGUGUGUGUGUGCGCGCGCGCUCAAGUCAUGAGCUGCAGUCUAUCUAAAGCUUUCCAUCACUCAUAUACAACAGCUUCUGUUCAUUCAGUGUUUCCUCAAGGAUGAAUGGAUGAACACACAAGCACAUUCUUGCGCACACACUUUUUAAACUCUCAAUUUAAACACUUUGAGAUUAAUUUAUACAUAGAUGUAUUCAUAGUGCCAUUGUACAGUGCUUAUCUCUGAAGGCUUUUCAAAUUGGUGUAUAAAGAGGGAAAAUAUUUGGUGUCUGAGGCAAAACUGCACAGAUUUUUUUGUAAAUUUUUUUUGCAGAAUGCUUUUAUUUUUCACUUUUUUUCACUUCAAAUAAACGUCUAAUUAUAUGAUUAAAGGCUGGAUUGUCAAAAUUAAUAGAAUUGAAACUUAUGAAAAAUGUAAAUUAAAAGCAAUUAAGCUGUUUUGCCUAUAAAUAUUUGUUUUUGUUUUGUUUUUUGCUUCAUAUGUGCUGUGUAUAUGAUAUAUAAUUUUAUUUUUAAAUAUACCUUGCAUCUCUUUUAAGGCAAAUCAUGGAACGUUUGAAACUGGUUUUGAUGAAUGAAUAAGAGUUUGGUAGAACUUUCUACCUUAAAAUGUUUCCAUAGUGUUCUCAGAAAUGAAUUGCAUGGCUUGUCUGACUAAUCGUGUUUUACAGGAUAACAUCUGUCCCUGCUAUUAGGAAACAGCCCCCUGUGGUGUUCAUAAGGGGGUCUCAACGCAAUGUGAAAUUUACAAUGUGACAUUUAAAGGUCAUUGUGGGGUGAAUAGAUGGAUUUCUUAAAGUCUUUAAAGUCCUCUGCUGUUUUUUUUUUUUUACAUUUAGUAAUGAAUAAGUGUUUGAAACAUUGAAGAAUUAUAGAAACACAACAACAAAUCACAGCACCAUACAACAUUUGGAGUCUGUAAGAUAUUUUUUAUGUUUUCUAUUAGCCUAAGUCUUCUAUGUACAUCUCUGUAAUAUUGUGAAAUUUAAUUACAAUUUAAAAUAUUUUUUUGAAUAUGUUUCAAAAUGUAUUGCUGUUAAGGUAAAGCUGAAUUAUCUAUAGACAUUUGUUUUUAGUGUCACAUGAUCCUUCAAAAAUCAUUAUAAUAUGCUGAUUUAGUGCUCAAGAACCAUUUCUAUUGUUAUUCAUGUUGAAAACAGUUGUGCUAUUUAUUUUUGUUUUCAUUCUUUGAUAAUUACUUGAAAAAUAAGAACAGCAUUUACUUGAAAUAGAAAACUUUUGUAAUGUCAUAAAUGUCUUUCCCGUGAUUUGUUUGCUUGCAUUUUUGCUGAAUAAUAGUGCUAAUUUAAAAAAAAGGGAAAGAUAGUGUCAUUGAUAGCAUCAAGGUCACAAAUUCAAUAAUUGUUAUACCAACUUACAGCAGGCACAUCUCAUCUAUCAGUCGGUAGAUAGUGAAUGGGGCGGCAAAACUAGUUAGUGUUUCCUGUCAAUUGCCCCUGGCGUGGUUACCUGUGUGUGGGUCUUCACGCUGGGCAGUGGGGGCAAACAGAUGCCAGACUGACACCCUCUCUCUCUCUCACUCCAUUUUGACUCCCUC
Long non-coding RNA from Carassius auratus (goldfish), 4823 nucleotides. RefSeq lists it as uncharacterized. The transcript has 3 exons. Lineage: Eukaryota; Metazoa; Chordata; Actinopteri; Cypriniformes; Cyprinidae. The record is from RefSeq and is a predicted model, not a curated record.